AUUUGAAAUGCGUUCUUUUGAAUCUGGCUUCCCUGUGUCUGUGAAGUUGAUCUCGUCAUGAAGAGCAGUGGUGUAUCCUUUCAUGUGCUGGGCCAGCUUCCCACUGUAUGCAUACACAUAUCUUGAAACACAGAAGACGGAAGAACGGAAAGAGAUAUGUGCUCUACAUGCCCUGGACACCAGUGGUACAAUCUGCUAAUUGGAGUCCAAUGACCAAUUAAGUAGGAAGCAAC
This is a long non-coding RNA of Budorcas taxicolor (takin), 233 nucleotides long. RefSeq lists it as uncharacterized. The record is from RefSeq and is a predicted model, not a curated record. NCBI's taxonomy places the organism in Eukaryota, Metazoa, Chordata, Mammalia, Artiodactyla, Bovidae. The transcript is spliced from 3 exons.